RNAcentral lists this ribosomal RNA (221 nucleotides) under Gracilibacillus orientalis. RNAcentral describes it as "16S rRNA. Bacterial SSU". It matches the Rfam family "Bacterial small subunit ribosomal RNA", at positions 1 to 201 of the family's 1533-position model. Lineage: Bacteria; Bacillati; Bacillota; Bacilli; Caryophanales; Bacillaceae. The record is from RNAcentral.
ACUUUAUUGAGAGUUUGAUCUUGGCUCAGGACGAACGCUGGCGGCGUGCCUAAUACAUGCAAGUCGAGCGCGGGAAGCUUGUCGGAUCUCUUCGGAGUGAAGCGAGUGGAACGAGCGGCGGACGGGUGAGUAACACGUGGGCAACCUACCUAUAAGACUGGGAUAACUCCGGGAAACCGGGGCUAAUACCGGAUAACACUUUUCUUCACAUGAAGGGAAGU